CAGCACUCGGAUGUCAGUUCAUCAACAUCAGGGUCAGAAGAAGAUGAUGAAGAAAUCCACAACCAAUCUGAGUGAAUCAGAUGACACAUCUGAAAUUGACC
Molecule: long non-coding RNA, 101 nt
Organism: Corticium candelabrum
Lineage: Eukaryota; Metazoa; Porifera; Homoscleromorpha; Homosclerophorida; Plakinidae
Exons: 3
Source: RefSeq, a predicted model, not a curated record